Molecule: ribosomal RNA, 783 nt
Filed under: uncultured bacterium
Lineage: Bacteria
Description: bacterial SSU rRNA
Rfam family: Bacterial small subunit ribosomal RNA
Source: RNAcentral
AGAGUUUGAUCCUGGCUCAGGACGAACGCUGGCGGCGUGCUUAACACAUGCAAGUCGAACGGUAAGGCCCUUCGGGGUACACGAGUGGCGAACGGGUGAGUAACACGUGGGUAAUCUGCCCUGCACAUCGGGAUAAGCCUGGGAAACUGGGUCUAAUACCGAAUAGGACCACAGGACACAUGUCCUGUGGUGGAAAGCUUUUGCGGUGUGGGAUGGGCCCGCGGCCUAUCAGCUUGUUGGUGGGGUGAUGGCCUACCAAGGCGACGACGGGUAGCCGGCCUGAGAGGGUGUCCGGCCACACUGGGACUGAGAUACGGCCCAGACUCCUACGGGAGGCAGCAGUGGGGAAUAUUGCACAAUGGGCGAAAGCCUGAUGCAGCGACGCCGCGUGGGGGAUGACGGCCUUCGGGUUGUAAACCUCUUUCACCAUCGACGAAGGUCCGGGUUUUCUCGGGCUGACGGUAGGUGGAGAAGAAGCACCGGCCAACUACGUGCCAGCAGCCGCGGUAAUACGUAGGGUGCGAGCGUUGUCCGGAAUUACUGGGCGUAAAGAGCUCGUAGGUGGUUUGUCGCGUUGUUCGUGAAAUCUCACGGCUUAACUGUGAGCGUGCGGGCGAUACGGGCAGACUUGAGUACUGCAGGGGAGACUGGAAUUCCUGGUGUAGCGGUGGAAUGCGCAGAUAUCAGGAGGAACACCGGUGGCGAAGGCGGGUCUCUGGGCGGUAACUGACGCUGAGGAGCGAAAGCGUGGGGAGCGAACAGGAUUAGAUACCCUGGUAGUCC